Molecule: long non-coding RNA, 1053 nt
Filed under: Castor canadensis (American beaver)
Lineage: Eukaryota; Metazoa; Chordata; Mammalia; Rodentia; Castoridae
Description: lncRNA (ENSCCNG00000018786.1)
Source: RNAcentral
CCCGGGGUGUCCGCUCCCCAAGUGCCGGCGCGCCGGGGGGGUGCGGGUGGAGGCUGGGGCAGCCCCUUUGUUUUGGGGACGGGUGGGCGGCCGGCAAGUUUCGGAAAAGCGUUGCGUUUCUCCCCGGUACCCCUUUGUCUGCCGCUCCUGGGGCUGGCGGGGCAGACGUGUGCCACCCGGAGUCUCCCGUGGAGGGAGGGAGCCUACUCAUCCCCGGGGCGCGGGUGGCACACCGGAAUCGGGUGGAAGCGUGGCGACGAGCAGUGCCGUGAGUGGCGGGCGAGGCGGCGCGGGCUCCGGGUCUGCUCCCGUUUGUUUCCGAGGCGCAGAAACUGUCAAGGAAGUCGGGAGCCCCUUCCCCACACUCGCCCUCGGGGACCUGGCCUGGGGCGACCAGAGAGGGCACGGCGCUGGGCAGGCGAGGGUCUGCCGAGCGCGGCCUGGGGAGGGUGCAGACCUGUUGCUCCCGGGCUCUGGGGGAUCCCCACGUCUGCAGCACCCCCGCCCUCCCCUCUGGGGAUCUUCACUAAUACGGGGGCCAGGGCUCGGGGCGCGUGUGUGUGUGCACGCUCCUUAAGGAGCUGGAGUUCGCCGGCUGUGACAACUUUGGGUGCCUGGAGGCCCGCCGGCGCCGGGGUACUGCCUGGACUUCACGUGCGUCCCUGCGCACCGACAGGCUGGACCCCGGGCUCGCUCACAGCACGGCCUGGCGUUCUCCGAGCCAAGAGCAUUGGAAAUUGCACAAAGUUAGGGCCCGGCACGUUUCUUUUUAAGUUGUUGAUGUUGUGGAACAGAACCCUAAAAAAAAAAUGUGUCAAAUCUCAUUGCCAAGCAUCCCCAAAGUAUUGCUAGUGCUCCUGCUUUGCAUUGUGUGCGGCCCGCCCCGACUUCUGGAUGUUUUCCUCCGGACGGGAGGAGGAAUGACUCCCUGGUUUAACCUGGGACUCUAAGAGGGGGAGGGGAGGGGUCCUAGACGGUGGCUUGGGAGGGGAGGAAAUGGCUCGUGACGAUUUUACGGAAAGUUUACUACCAGUCAUUCCUAGAAAAGACGCA